RNAcentral lists this transfer RNA (73 nucleotides) under bacterium. RNAcentral's name for it is "tRNA-Thr". It matches the Rfam family "tRNA". Rfam says of the family: Transfer RNA (tRNA) molecules are approximately 80 nucleotides in length. Their secondary structure includes four short double-helical elements and three loops (D, anti-codon, and T loops). The record is from RNAcentral.
GCCGUUGUAGCUCAGUUGGUAGAGCACGACAUUGGUAAUGACGAGGUCGCCGGUUCAAUCCCGGCCAACGGCU